GUGCAGAAGCACAGAACGAAACGAACGAACGCGAGGAGAGGAAGCGAGGCGAGACGACGAGACGAGAGAUAUUGUGUCGAGAAAAUAAGAUCGAACGAAGGAAAAAGUUGUUAAUCGAUCACAUUUGUAUAUGUGAGAAGUGCAGUACGUGCGGUGUGUUCAUAUCAUAUUGAAGACACACGUGUGAAACUGAGAUUUGGUUCUAAUAUCCGGCUGGUUUGAUAGCAUAUCUCGUUGUCGAGUUGUAAUCGGAAAGAAGGGAACGUUUCAUCGUUGUGCUCUGCAUUCAUACACGAGAUAUCGUCGUAUGAACAGAAAAAAAAGUGUGUGUACGUGAAGAGCGAAAAAAAAAAAAUUAAUUUCUGUGGAUUUUUAGAGAGAGUGAGAAAGAAAAAACUUCAUCGUCGAAUUUUUUUUUUCUUUCGUGGCGUGUGCAUUUAUAUAGAUCGAAAACAAUCAAAGAAGAAGACGCAUCCACAGAGACAGGCACGCAAAACAAUCCAGGCGCUUGCUUUAUCAUCACACAUACACACCCACACAUACACUACAUAGGACAUACACACACCCACUCACACAUCCUCGACGCACGUAUAAACGCAGAGCUUUUUUUGGACAAUAUAACAAUAUCAUCGACGUCUACGUGCUCUGUGUGCUCAAGAACAUUAUACGUGUGUGCGAGUGCGAUUGUGUGCGUCUGCUGCAGCAUCGUAUAUACAAUCCAACGUUUAUAUACAUAUAACACGCAAAGCGAAACAUCGCGCAGCCAUCUUGCCGUGCAAAUACAUCGUUGUGUGCGUCGAGUAUAUAGCCACUAAUACACACAUAGCGUCUACAGCUCUCUCAUCUAGCGCGUCGGUGUGCGUGCGUGCGAUUUCCUGCCUGCUCGGAGCAUAAAAAGCUAAAAAACUGGCUUACGCGUGGAAUAUCGCUGAAAUCGACUCAAUGCUCCACCAAAGUCUGCCACAAAAUCAAUACAUGAGGAUCAGGCAGAACCAAUAUUGGAAGCGCAACAGUUAGCAGUUAUCGAAUAAAGGCAACUCCUCCAACGCUUGUUAAGGUGGUCAACUAAGUUUUGGCUCAUCGAAAAAAAUCAAGUUUCGAGAAACGAGAGCUCGAAGAAAAAUAGUUUCGGAAUCGUCAAAUUUUAAUUUCACGCAUCAUCCGUCACAAUGACUAAUUCAACGCCAAAGAAUAAUCUGGCCCGCAAAAGUAUUGCGCAGGACAAGAGCGGAAGAAAAUAUCAGCGCAGUCCUAAACAAUUCGUUAAGACUGCGACGUUCUUCUCCUCGAAGAAGAGCAAGGAUCUGUCCAGCUUACCUAACUCGCCGCACAGCAGCCGUUGUAGCAGCUGUAGCAGCUCAGACGAGAUGGAUUCACCCACUAAAUUUAGUACACCUACUAAAUUCAGUACCCCUGCCAAGUUUGGUACUCCUGAAAAGUUUAUCACCCCUGUGAAAAAUUCAACGCUGGACGACUCUGGAAUAUAUAGCGCAUCUUCAUCUCCGAUUUCGAGUCCAACUCCAAGUCUAAUUAACAGCUAUUUUGCUGGGGCUAAAUUUGCUAAUUCUCCAUCAACCGAGAAUUUACCAUUACCACCUCAACGUUGGGUUGCAUUAAGUUGCAAAAAACAACUGGACUCUGAAAUGUGUAAUGUCUCUGGACUGUCUAAUACUGAUUUCCUCAAACACGUUUUGAAGAUCAAUGCUUGAUACUCUUUAGUAUCGAUGACAUUGCCUAACAAGCAUCCAUUAGUUGUGUAAGUUGGAUAAGAGAGUGUAGAAGUGAAAAAUUAAAGUGAUAAAGUAGAUUUAUAGUGUACGCCGGCGUUAUUAUCCAGAAUACAAAGACACCACCGAUACUCAAGUAGCUGCUCUGCGAGAUAGCUGCUGCAUCAUUAGAAGUUACAGUGUUGCGCAUUUUUACUUUGACUGAUUGUAUUAUUUGCAAAAUGUGUGUGAUAUUUGUAUUAUACAAAAAUGAAAGACAAUGCACAGUUCUACCAUCAAAUAUGGUGCGUUAGGUGAAAUAAUUUUGCCUGUUAACACUGAGUGAUUAACUAUGCGCAGUUUUUAAGUUUAAAGUUAAUUUUGUUUUGAGUAUACUUGAUGAUAAUGAAGAUUCAAUGAAGAGAAACAAUGGAGUGCUGGAAAAGAAGAAAGAAGAAGAGAAAUCCAUCCUCGGGCGCUGUUUGUCAUCUAAGCUUGGAGCAUAUAAGUGCCGUUGUCACCCACACACCAGUCGAAAACUUCAAUCUGCACGAGAGCUCGAUAAGUUAUUACCGAUUGGCCUUUUUUUCGAGACGUUCCCAGACUGACAGCUGCUGCUGCUGCCCUGUGUGUGCAUUACCUGCCGAAUCCCGAAAGCGUCGCCAUCCAUCCAUCCAUCCAUUCGACCGGAGCUAAAGGAGAGGAUGUAUCGCGUGUAAAUAUUGGCCAACAAAGUUAUUCUCAUAAGUUCUCGCAUCUUGGCCUCUUCUCUAUCCAGCUCAGAGAGCCGGCCUCGCCGCAGUAGCAGCAGCAGCAGCAGACACAGCAGCGGCAGUCGCAGUCAGUCACGCUUUUCUAUAAAAUCCGAGGAGGAGAGAGAGAAAGAGAGACAAAGACGACCCACUUGUAUAGUACACGUAGACGUGUGUAUCGAGGCCUAUACCUAUAUACUACAAGCCGUCGAGCGAAGUAAAGUGGGUUCUCAUGAAGCCUGGUAUACUACUACCUAUACGCGCUGUAUGUACGCGAACUCUCGAUGCAACAGCGGUGCGGCAUACAUUCACCAGAUCGCCUGGUUUCACACACCGCCGCUCGUACAUAACACAACGAGAGACAGAAAAAAAAUGGCGAAGAAAAAAACCGAACGAGCCAACCUUGUUUUGAGGGAAAAGAAGUUAUACGUAUACGCGUGUGUGACUCACUUCCAUUAAGAGUCGCGCAGCUGCUCUUCGCGGACUAGUCUUCCUUGCGGCAGCCGCGAGUCGUACCUUUUAUACGUGACGUAGUUUCCAGUCCAUAAUAUAUCCGAAAUACCCGGUAUAUAAAGACGGAUACAAAUUUCCCGGGGUCAUCCGCGUAUAAUUCAUUUUUUAUACUUCGUAUUUUUUACUUCAACUUCCAAUGCGUCCAUUCUUUCCUUCUCUCUUGUCUCUCCGCGAAAUAAAAGUCCGCGUAUGCAUGAGUGUUGAAAUUUUUCGCCGUACCCAUAUAAUCAAAAAUGUUGUACACGCACAUUCGAAAGUCUAAUUUUGUAUCAUAGCUCAAGUUAUAUUAUAGUUGCCACGUCGCAGAGAUCCAUCGCUCGCUUCGCGUCGCUCGCGCUAAGUUUUCUGUGUGCGAGCCGCAUGCACUUAAACGAUCUCGGUCAAACGUUCAUUGACUCUAAUCGCGAAAGAGAGAGAGAAAGAAAGAAGGACUGAGAUAGAGCUAUAUACAUUACACAAAUACACACAGCGAGAGAGCCGCAGCAGUACCGAGUGCAAAAGAGCACGGAGUUGUUUUUCUGUGAUAAUAAUACAUAUGUUGAGUAUUUGCUGUGACGUCGUCUGUACAAUUCGUAUUGUUUUUUUAUAUACUUUGUAAUUAUACAUGUGCACAUUGUUUCGUGCUUACAAAUUCUCCGUGAUGAAAAAGAACGAAUUAAAAACGAAUAAAGAAAUUAUUUUUUGCAAACAA
Molecule: unclassified non-coding RNA, 3662 nt
Filed under: Trichogramma pretiosum
Lineage: Eukaryota; Metazoa; Arthropoda; Insecta; Hymenoptera; Trichogrammatidae
Description: uncharacterized LOC106657112, transcript variant X1
Source: RNAcentral